Molecule: long non-coding RNA, 1094 nt
Filed under: Homo sapiens (human)
Lineage: Eukaryota; Metazoa; Chordata; Mammalia; Primates; Hominidae
Description: non-protein coding lnc-RTL1-3:11
Source: RNAcentral
ACCACACCGCUAGCGCCUCUGAACCUCGCCAGGCACGUCCGGUUCUGCGGCCCCCACUCCGCCCCCGCCUGCCGGGAGCCGCGCAGUUACAAAGUGCCGGGAGCCGUGCAGGGCCAGUGAACCCCUCGCUGAGACUCAGUUUGCUGCCAUCACAAGUGCUCUGAGAAUCCUGGAGAGGGAGGAUAUUGGAGACAAACGGGACUGCUGCCCGCCUUUUAGGCGACCGUUGGAGGCUGCUCUGUGCCGGACACAGGCAGGGAGGUGGAGGCCAGAUACAAGAAAACCACAGUACCAGUAAAUGACAAAGGCUGGAUCUUAACCCAAGUCCUCCGACUCUGAAGGCCAUACCCAACAGGUCCCAUUUUAUUUGUUUUACUUUUUUUUAAUUGAAGAAAAAAAAACUAGCAUUCCCCUACAGUGCCCCCCACCUGGUGGGGACAUCUUGGGUUGGCAAGGCCACCACUUUCAAGAGUAGAAGUGUUUUUCAGCAGGAGGAGUUGGCUGCACCAAAGGAGCUCAGGAGAAGCUGGAGUCUCAGGCCCAGCAGGAACAGCCAGAGGUUUUGCAGCUUUGCCCAGCGGCUGGGUUCGCCGAAGGGUCUCCCUGGGGGUUCCCAGCAUGAGCCGAAGCCACCCUCCCCUGUGGGAUCUGUGAGGCCAGGCAUUGGGCCUCUUUAGGCCUCAGUUUCCUCCCCUGUCAUAGGCAACUGACAGUCCCUCUGGAGCGCCACUGGGGCUGCAGAGGGAGGCCGGAGAGAUGGUGCCCCCCCUCCUCCCCGCCACCCCCACACACAGCCCUCAGCAGGAUGGUGGCUGCCUGGCCGAUUGCUUUUGCAUUUGCAGCAGAGCGGGGGAGUGAGGCCAAGCUGAGUGCCCCCUCCCCCUGCCCAGCCAGCUCAGACCCAGGCGGUGGAGCAGGAAGGCUCUGGGGAAAACAGUGUGAGUCACCGGGCGGCCAGAGUGUGUCCUUCCCUGCUAGCGCACUACACGGCAGGUUUCAUAGCUUGACAGCAAAGUGUUUGAAAACGAAGAGCAGGAAUUCCGCGGUUCCUGCCCGGCCUCGCCAUCCAGCUGGGAGAAGAGCAUGGUCAUUUC